GAGGUAAUGGCUCACCAAGGCAUCGACGGGUAGCUGGUCUGAGAGGACGAUCAGCCACACUGGGACUGAGACACGGCCCAGACUCCUACGGGAGGCAGCAGUAGGGAAUCUUGCACAAUGGGCGAAAGCCUGAUGCAGCGACGCCGCGUGGGGGAUGAAGGCCUUCGGGUUGUAAACCCCUUUCAGUAGGGACGAAAAUGACGGUACCUACAGAAGAAGGUCCGGCCAACUACGUGCCAGCAGCCGCGGUAACACGUAGGGACCAAGCGUUGUCCGGAAUUAUUGGGCGUAAAGAGCUCGUAGGUGGUUCCGUAAGUCGGAUGUGAAAACUCAAGGCUCAACCUUGAGACGCCAUCCGAUACUGCGGUGACUUGAGUUCGGUAGAGGAGUGUGGAAUUCCUGGUGUAGCGGUGAAAUGCGCAGAUAUCAGGAGGAACACCGACAGCGAAGGCAGCACUCUGGGCCGAUACUGACACUGAGGAGCGAAAGCAUGGGGAGCAAACAGGAUUAGAUACCCUGGUAGUCCAUGCCGUAAACGUUGGGCACUAGGUG
Molecule: ribosomal RNA, 552 nt
Filed under: uncultured Actinomycetes bacterium
Lineage: Bacteria; Bacillati; Actinomycetota; Actinomycetes
Description: bacterial SSU rRNA
Rfam family: Bacterial small subunit ribosomal RNA
Source: RNAcentral